This is a long non-coding RNA of Oreochromis aureus, 299 nucleotides long. RefSeq lists it as uncharacterized. The record is from RefSeq and is a predicted model, not a curated record. Lineage: Eukaryota; Metazoa; Chordata; Actinopteri; Cichliformes; Cichlidae. The transcript is spliced from 3 exons.
AAAUGCAUUAAACAUCUCCAGAACACAUGAAACGCAUUUUCUACUCAUUUUUUUCCUCAAAAAAAUAAGAACAUAUCAAAUAAUGAAAACAGAAGAGAACAUUUACAAGAAGCAAGACCAGGAAGAAAUUGUGUGAACGUGGUCUUCAGUCUCUUCCAGGAAUUGCUGGGUUGAGGUGACCUAGAUAAGAAAGCAUAACACCUGAGCAGUGCCACAAUGUUCCACGGGUGAUGCUGGCUGAAGGACUUGCAGCAAGUGAGGGCGAUGGCGACAACAACGAAGACGAUGAAGGAACUGAG